RNAcentral lists this ribosomal RNA (498 nucleotides) under uncultured Glomeromycotina. RNAcentral's name for it is "partial small subunit ribosomal RNA". It matches the Rfam family "Eukaryotic small subunit ribosomal RNA", at positions 591 to 1092 of the family's 1831-position model. The record is from RNAcentral. Lineage: Eukaryota; Fungi; Glomeromycota.
CCAAUAGCGUAUAUUAAAGUUGUUGCAGUUAAAAAGCUCGUAGUUGAAUUUUAGGCCUGGCCAGGCGGUCCGUCUUUGGCGAGUACUGUCUUGUUGUCGGGUCUUCCUUCUGGUGAACCAGUAUGUCCUUUAUUGGGUGUGUUGGGGAGCCAGGACCAUUACCUUGAAAAAAUUAGAGUGUUUAAAGCGGGCUAUUGCUUGAAUAGAUUAGAAUGGAAUAAUAGAAUAGGACGUUGUGGUUCUAUUUUGUUGGUUUCUAGGACCACCGUAAUGAUUAAUAGGGAUAGUUGGGGGCAUUAGUAUUCAAUUGUCAGAGGUGAAAUUCUUGGAUUUAUUGAAGACUAACUAUUGCGAAAGCAUUUGCCAAGGAUGUUUUCAUUAAUCAAGAACGAAAGUUAGGGGAUCGAAGACGAUCAGAUACCGUCGUAGUCUUAACCAUAAACUAUGCCGACUAGGAAUCGGGCGACGUUAUUUUAAUGACUCGCUCGGCGCCUUAUG